RNAcentral lists this ribosomal RNA (290 nucleotides) under uncultured bacterium. Its description in RNAcentral is "partial 16S ribosomal RNA". It matches the Rfam family "Bacterial small subunit ribosomal RNA", at positions 775 to 1067 of the family's 1533-position model. The record is from RNAcentral.
GGAUUAGAUACCCUGGUAGUCCACGCCCUAAACUAUGAGUGCUAAUCGUUGGAACUUCGGUUUCAGUGGUAAAGCUAACGCGUUAAGCACUCCGCCUGGGUAGUACGGUCGCAAGGCUAAAACUCAAAGGAAUUGGCGGGGACCCGCACAAGCGGUGGAGCAUGUGGCUUAAUUCGAUAAUAACCGAAAAACCUUACCAUCCAUUGCAUGCAUAUAUCGGGGUCCGAAAAACGGAUCCUUCUUUCGGGAGGUAUGCACAGGUGAUGCAUGGCUGUCGUCAGCUCGUGUCG